Molecule: long non-coding RNA, 521 nt
Filed under: Sorghum bicolor (sorghum)
Lineage: Eukaryota; Viridiplantae; Streptophyta; Magnoliopsida; Poales; Poaceae
Description: long non-coding RNA (SBIC_LNC005080)
Source: RNAcentral
AGGUCAUCAUACAAUCCAAAAUCACUCAACCCUAAUUAUGAGGAUCUAAAUAAUCACUAUUUAAUUAUUUUAGUAAGAUUAGUUAAAUACUAAAUAAGGGUUUAUUAAUAUUUUAACUAAACCUUAUCCAAAUGCCACCAAAUUUUAGGUGGAGCCAGGGAAUAAUAUUCAGAGGCUCCCCAAAUUUUUUGGUGAUUUUUGGAUAUACAGUUAAAUUAUUAAAAAUCAUACAAGUUUUAUUUGCUAAUUAAAAGGGCCAAUUUUUGUAUCCUUGCAAACUAUUAGAAAUCAGAACCUAGUAUUUUUCUUGGAUCCUACAUAUUUCAGAGAGUUUAUACAAAAAUUUUCAUUAUUUUUGGAUCAUCACACAAUUUAUUACACAAAUUCAAAUAUAAAACAAAAACUGCAUAAAAGAAAAAAAAAGAAAAGACACUGCAGCGGGUGGCCGGAUUUCGGCCCGCAGGCCGGCCCGCUUCGGCUCGGCCCGCACGGACGCUGCGCACUCCGCCUUCUCUCCGCGC